Molecule: ribosomal RNA, 121 nt
Filed under: Sorex araneus (European shrew)
Lineage: Eukaryota; Metazoa; Chordata; Mammalia; Eulipotyphla; Soricidae
Source: RNAcentral
GUCUGUGGCCUUACCACCCUGAAACAUGCCCGGUCUGAUCUUGGAAGCUAAGCAGGGUUGGGCCUGGAUAGAGCCUAGAAGGGAGAAUUGGUUCUUGUUUUGUCCUCUGGUGACACCUUUC